This 343-nucleotide unclassified non-coding RNA is filed under the name Hevea brasiliensis (rubber tree). Lineage: Eukaryota; Viridiplantae; Streptophyta; Magnoliopsida; Malpighiales; Euphorbiaceae. The record is from RNAcentral.
AGGGAAUUUAGGGAUCUUAGCUUAUGGGAAGGGAUUUUAUUGUAUGGAAGGGUAAAGAUAUCUUGGGAGGAAAUUUUUCUCUCCUCUUACCAAUAGAAAAAUCUACUUAUUAAUAGAGAAUCUAGAUGAAGGGACCUAUUAAUAGAUGGAAUAAAAAAUAGAGGGGUAAAAAAAUUCUAAAAAUAUGAGGCCUAAGUCAUAAAUAAUUUUAUAAUUUAGAGACUAAAUAAUAAUUUACCUUAUAUUUUAUUUAUUAAACACCAUUAACCUAGUGAUUGAAAUUCAAUGAAACUAAUAAGUCAUUUCAUUUAGUACAUUAUAUGUCAUCUAUCGGGUUUGAUAU